CUAAACAAAAGCCAAAGUAAUGAGGCGCCUAGCUGUUAAUUAGGAGAUUGUAAAUUUAUUACUUGUUUAGU
RNAcentral lists this transfer RNA (71 nucleotides) under Mammilla kurodai. RNAcentral describes it as "tRNA-Asn". The record is from RNAcentral. Lineage: Eukaryota; Metazoa; Mollusca; Gastropoda; Littorinimorpha; Naticidae.